Long non-coding RNA from Gallus gallus (chicken), 1174 nucleotides. The record is from Ensembl. NCBI's taxonomy places the organism in Eukaryota, Metazoa, Chordata, Aves, Galliformes, Phasianidae.
GGCACAGUGGGCCAGAUGUAUAGUGAGGUAGAUGAAAAUAUUAUUCAUAGUUUUGGACACAGGUUGUUUAUAUUUUAUUUAUUACAUUGAUUUUAAUAAGAUAAGUGACAUUUGCAGUGCUCUUUUGAACAAAGCACAUUUUCAGUAUAAAAGCUUUUUUUUAAUAAAGAAUGUCACUCUCAACUUGAAGUUGUUCUUGCCUGUCUGAUGACCACCAGAUCCAUGCAGGCCUCUAGCCUCAGGACUGCAAACAGGCCGAAGGGACCCGUGGUUCUAGUUAAAGUUCUUUAGACAGAAAGUUAUUGUAAGUUGGAUUUAUUUCCAUUCUUCAAACUACUUAAAUGCCCACAUUGCCCCCUUGCAGCUCCUCUCAGAAAAUUAACUGCAGUCAAAUGUUGACCAUUGCUCAAGUGAAACAUUUUGGACCGAUGAAGUGGCAUAAAAUACCUUUUGUCUAUAGUUUGUGUUGUUUUGUUUCCAUUCUUCUGUACUGGCAAGUGCCCCGACUACUGUUGUUCACUCUUGCUGUACUGCGUUUUGAGAAGGUGUGGAAUUACCUGGCUUCUCUUCCAGGCUUGGAAAUCCAACACUGCUGCCAUACUGAGCAGGAUAUAUCAUGAUGCAUUCUCUUUAAUACUGAGGAAAGUAUCAUUACCUAUUGCUGUUCCCUUCAUUCUUGUACUAGAUAAAACACAGAAAUAGAGAAGAAACCAAACUGUUCCAAAAAAUGUAUAAAAUGCAAUUGAUGUACUGUCAAAUGUCAGAUUAUUUUUUUUUAACAAGCUUCGUAUUAGAAUCUUGAUCAGCUGUGUAGACCUAUAUAAAUCUCACUGUUUUAUUAAAUGCUGUUUAUGGUCUGGAAGGAAUGGUUAACCUAUCUCAAGAUUAACAAAUUUGCACUAACAUGAGCAAUAUUGAUUUGAAAAAAUAAUAUGAAUUCAAUAUUUAAAUGAUAAACUAUGAUUUUAAAGGUAUAUUAACACUGAAAGUACAUUUUGACAAAUAACAUAUUUAAGCCCAAAAUACAAAUGGUUAUGUCAAAUAACACAAAAAGAACUAUAACAAUAUAGAGUGAGAAAAAAAAAAUGUGUUUCACUGUACAUGUUGCUAACAUGUACAAAGACAAACUCAUAUUGACAUAUUUUCUAUUAAUAAAUCCUACUGUAUUGUGGAG